Long non-coding RNA from Aedes aegypti (yellow fever mosquito), 193 nucleotides. RefSeq lists it as uncharacterized. Lineage: Eukaryota; Metazoa; Arthropoda; Insecta; Diptera; Culicidae. The record is from RefSeq and is a predicted model, not a curated record. The transcript has 2 exons.
AGCUGGCGAGUCGGCGAGCUGGCGAGUUUGUUAAUGCAAUUUUCCCCUCCAUCGGUUGCUAUCGUCUCCAUAGUGCCGUAAUAUUUAUUAUUACGUGUUGAAAAUUCAAAAGGAACAUUUUCUGCAGAUACCAACGAAUGUUUCAGAAUACAGUUUCAGAAUACUGUUAUUCCACAACGCAAGAAAUUAAUUG